RNAcentral lists this unclassified non-coding RNA (205 nucleotides) under Hevea brasiliensis (rubber tree). The record is from RNAcentral. Lineage: Eukaryota; Viridiplantae; Streptophyta; Magnoliopsida; Malpighiales; Euphorbiaceae.
AAGAUCUUGUAGAAAUGUGUCGAGGAAUUCAACAUCCUAUCCGCGGGCUAUUUUUAAGAAGUUAUCUCUCGCAGAUCAGUAGGGACAAGUUGCCUGAUAUUGGUUCGGAGUAUGAAGGAGAUGCUGAUACUGUUACUGAUGCCAUAGAGUUCGUGCUUCAAAACUUCACAGAGAUGAAUAAACUUUGGGUUCGAAUGCAGCGUCA